AUGAUGAUGUCUCUGACUCUACUGCUGGCCACCCUGGGGCUCCUUGUUCAGGGUUCAUCAGCAGAAAUCAUCCUGACUCAGUCUCCUGGAUCUCAGUCUCCUGGAUCUCAGUCUGUUGUUCCAGGACAGACUGUCUCUAUCAGAUGUAAAGCCAGUAGACUUAUAGGUGAUGACAUUAACUGGUACCGUCAGAAACCUGGAGAAGCUCCUAAACUCCUGAUUUAUGAUACAACAUAUCUUCAGUCUGGAGUUUCAUAUCGUUUUAGUGCAACAGCAGAUCAGACUGACUUCACUCUGACCAUCAGUGGAGUUCAGAGUGAAGAUGCAGGAGUUUAUUAUUGUCAGCAGCAUAACAGCUUCCCGCUCACACAGUGA
Non-coding RNA from Seriola aureovittata, 375 nucleotides. The record is from the annotation of a RefSeq genome assembly. NCBI's taxonomy places the organism in Eukaryota, Metazoa, Chordata, Actinopteri, Carangiformes, Carangidae.